RNAcentral lists this ribosomal RNA (494 nucleotides) under uncultured bacterium. Its description in RNAcentral is "partial 16S ribosomal RNA". It matches the Rfam family "Bacterial small subunit ribosomal RNA", at positions 28 to 506 of the family's 1533-position model. The record is from RNAcentral.
GACGAACGCUGGCGGCGUGCCUAAUACAUGCAAGUAGAACGCUGAAGGAGGAGCUUGCUUCUCUGGAUGAGUUGCGAACGGGUGAGUAACGCGUAGGUAACCUGCCUGGUAGUGGGGGAUAACUAUUGGAAACGAUAGCUAAUACCGCAUAAUAGCAGUUGUUGCAUGAUAACUGUUUGAAAGGUGCAAUUGCACCGCUACCAGAUGGACCUGCGUUGUAUUAGCUAGUUGGUGGGGUAACGGCUCACCAAGGCGACGAUACAUAGCCGACCUGAGAGGGUGAACGGCCACCCUGGGACUGAGACACGGCCCAGACUCCCACGGGGGGCAGCGGGAGGGAAUCUUCGGCAAGGGACGGAAGUCUGACCGGGCAACGCCGGGGGAGGGAAGAAGGUUUUCGGAUCGUAAAGCUUUGUUGUAAGGAAAGAACGAGUGGGAGAGUGAAAAGUUCACCCUGGGCCGGUAUUUUACAAGAAAGGGACGGCUAACUACGU